CGUUAAAACACCGGUUUCUUUCGGAUCACCGACGUUAAGCAACAGUGAGCCUGGUCAGUAAAUGUAUGGGUGACCACUUGGGAAUACCAGGUGUUAUA
Molecule: non-coding RNA, 98 nt
Organism: Acanthosepion pharaonis
Lineage: Eukaryota; Metazoa; Mollusca; Cephalopoda; Sepiida; Sepiidae
Source: the annotation of a GenBank genome assembly